UUCUAAUGGUGUUUAGUUCUGGAAUGGCUUACACUCAAAGCUUCGGCGCUCAAGGAUGAAUCUGCAUCCGAUUAUGCUUGUUGGUGGUGUAACGGACCACCAAGGCGACGAUCGGUACGGGCCGUGAGAGCGGUAGCCCGGAGAUGGCCACUGAGACAACGGGCCAGGCCCUAUGGGGUGCAGCAGGCGCGAAACCUGGCCAAUGCGCGAAAGCGUGAGCCGGCCAAUCCGAGUGAAGACCCAUCGGUCUUCUUUUACCAUGUGUACAAAGCUUGGUGAAUAACGAGAGGGCAAGACUGGUGCCAGCCGCCGCGGUAAAACCAGCUCUUGGAGUGGUGAUCAUGAUUAUUUGGCUUAAAGUGAGCGUAGCCGGACAGCGUAAGUCCCCUGUGAAAUGCUAGGUCUUAAGCUUAGCACGUGCACGGGAUACUGCGCGUCUUGGGACCGGGAUGGGUGUACUGUACGGUUUGGGUAGGGGUGAAAUCCGAUAAUCCAAGCCGGACAACCGGUGGCGAAGGCGGUACACUGGAACGGGUCCGACGGUGAGGCUCGAAAGCUAGGGUCGCGAGCCGGAUUAGAUACCCGGGUAGUCCUAUGCUGUAAACGAUGCUCACUAAGUGUUAGGUAAUGCAAGACGUUACCUGGUGCCG
Molecule: ribosomal RNA, 650 nt
Filed under: uncultured archaeon
Lineage: Archaea
Description: bacterial SSU rRNA
Rfam family: Archaeal small subunit ribosomal RNA
Source: RNAcentral